UCUGGAUGCCUCAUUCAACUCACUAGGCGAACUUCUUCAAGUAGUUGCGCGCCCGUGACCCCAUUUUCUACAGAGGCAUCACAAUUAAACCAGCCACUUUGAAGCUUAAUGCAUACACAACAACAAACGAGAUCAGCUGUUGGCACACACCCACACAAAUGCACAACAGAAGUAGAAAACACAACUAGAGCGAAACGCAACGCACUCAAUCAGUUUGGAGAGUUCUGUUCAGAAAACAUACCUCGACCACAGCGAGAGGGGAGUAAACGUCAACGCAGGCGACAUUUGCAGCAGCUGCGCAUUGACGCUUUCGUGUGGAUGCAGCAAAGACUGAUAACUGGUCCAUGACUUUUGGAUGUUGUUGACUGUGCGCGUUCAUCCGGUUUGUGUGUUGGCUGGAAAGUCUCCCGACAUGCCAAAGCAUACGCCGUGUAUACCGUGUGCAUGUGUGAAUGGCGAAAACAGACAACGGCGGAUACACUUCGCUUGGCCAACAUCCAGUGGCUGCUAGUCGUGCGUAUUCAUUCGAGUUUGCUGGACCUCAGCAAGGACGAACCAACAUCAAACAAACAAUCAAUGAAAAUCAAGCAGUUUCCCUCUAGAAACGUUGAAAGUUAACUGUGUGUGUAAGCAAGGUGUGAACUGUGUAUGAAAAGUGGACAAGAAAAGCGUACGAAACGAAAGUUUAAAAACAAUUUAUCAAUUAAAUGAAACAGCGAGCAAACUAAGCAAAUAUAAAAGUAUGUAUGUCGCAUAAAUCCGUCGUGUUUGACAUUUGACUUUUGCUGUGAAAACUGCAUCAACAAAAGUGCUACGAAAAGUGUGAAAUUUUGUGAAAAACGCUGAAUUAUACUGCAUAUCAGCGCAGAGAGUGGACUGUGUGCCUUUUGCUUCACACUCGCCGCGCACCUGCGGCCCACCUUAAGCGCAAAAGCGCAUAAAAUAAAUAGUGUGCCACUCCGUGUGCAUUAAAGCUGCGAAAUCCUUAUUAAUGACACACAUAUUCCAACAGUGAACCACAAUGCGCACAAUAACAAUAAAAACAACAGCAAAAGCAAUAACAUGUAGUUGAACUCUAUUAAGCAGAACAAAUAACUGCGGCCAAAAUUGAUUGCAGUCGUCGGCUUAACGAACGCACUUGUGGGGUAGUGCAGCUGUGCAGUGUUUGUUGCCAUUACAACAAUACGCGAUAGGUUUGUGCUACAAGUAUAAACGUUUUCGCCUCCACCCAUUGCGUGACGCGAGAGAUUUGGGUGUGAAGGCAGCAAGGCGCUGUAACUGCAGGGACGGACGCCGUGUGCAUACGCAAGAAAGUGUAAAUUAUAAAACAGCAGCAUCUGCAAUAAUCCUGCAAAUACACAGGCUAAAUAAAUAAAUAAGUGGAAAGGCACGCAGCUGAAGUGAAGCGAAAACCAGAAACUCAGCAAGUGCUGCAAAAAGUUAGGUUAAGUGAUGUGUACAUAUACUUACGUGCCGCAAAGGAAGCGCGCAAGCAUCGAGUUGAUGCUGUGAAGUGUAAAAGUGAAUUGGCCAACAAAAGCUUUUAAAAUGAAGUUAAAGCGAGCAAGUGCGAAAUUGUGAAAGUAAGAAGUGUAAAAAGUGAAACGCAAAACAAACGUGUGUGCAGCUGCUAGUGAAGCGGUAAAAAAUACAUACAUACAUAUACGGCAGCUUUUACACAGCAUCCGGUGUUUUCCACUCACCUGUCCAUUUGUGCUGCAGCGGCUGCCACGCCAUUAAAAUGCAUGAGUCGGCAAAAACAAACCGGCUGGAGCAUGUGAGUCGCAAAACCAAAGAAGGAAGAAUUCACAUUUGAAGCGUUAGGUGUGAAAGUGUGACCGUUUUUCGUCGUAAAGCUACUAUUAGUAAAUGCUUUUGAAAAAGUGAAAAUCGUGUGGCUGUGUGCGGCUAAUAAAGUGCCAAAUAAAUUGGUGUCAGUAACAUUAAUGAAUCGAUCUGUGUAAAAACAAAUGAAAAAGUUUAAAAUACUCAGCAUAAAAUAGCAAAUAUACCGAUAAAAAGCUAACUGUUGUGCACAAAAGUACCCCCUGUGCCACAGUCACAAAAAAGGUGUUGCCCAUGUCGGGAAAAAUUGCAAACUUUCCGCCAAUGAAACUGUAUCCAUAUAUGUACGUUGUGUAAAAAAGUUCGUGUAAUUAUGUUGAACGCAGGCAGUGACACCUUUGUGCCAGCUAUGUGGCCGUAUGUACACGCCACGCAAACAAACUAGUCACGCGUACAUAUCCUGACAGCGUGCGUAACAAUAAAACGGCACAUAACUGAUACUUUCACGUUGCACAUGUGCUACUUGGACAGUAAAUGAAGAGACAGUUGUGCAAAAACAAUAAUAUAUAAAGGCAUGUGGCAUUAGGCGCUUUGACUGUUUGUAGCGCGCCUGUUGCUGGCCUAAAUUUUGUGACGAGCGCAUGGAAAUCGGCCAGGCUAUAACUACAGCUUCCGGCGACAGACACUCUUUAAGUGAUGCAACAACAAAGCAAGCCCUAUGCAUAUAAGUGCUCAUAGCAGCUACAAGCAACAAGCCAUACUGUGGCGUUAUUAUGUUUAAGCAUUGCGAGAAAAAAUUUCGGUAAAAAAUGCCAAACUUAAUUGCCAAUAAAAAUGAGUUGGAAAAGUUGGCGACGAAAAAAUUAGACUAAAAACUGAAAAGCAAAAGAAUUUCUACGAGAGAACAGAUCACAAAAGCGCUAAACUCACUUAAAGUCUAAACUUAAGGGUAGUUUUGCAUUAAAGCAGACAAAUUUUGCUUUUUCCGUGAACACUGAAAGCGUGAG
Molecule: long non-coding RNA, 2792 nt
Filed under: Bactrocera latifrons
Lineage: Eukaryota; Metazoa; Arthropoda; Insecta; Diptera; Tephritidae
Description: uncharacterized LOC108978432
Source: RNAcentral